GGCUUAUUCGUCUAGUGGUCAGGACUCAAGAUUUUCAUUCUUGCAACAGGGGUUCGAUUCCCCUAUAGGCUACCA
This 75-nucleotide transfer RNA is filed under the name Flavobacteriaceae bacterium. Its description in RNAcentral is "tRNA-Glu". It matches the Rfam family "tRNA". From Rfam's summary of the family: Transfer RNA (tRNA) molecules are approximately 80 nucleotides in length. Their secondary structure includes four short double-helical elements and three loops (D, anti-codon, and T loops). Further hydrogen bonds mediate the characteristic L-shaped molecular structure. tRNAs have two regions of fundamental functional importance: the anti-codon, which is responsible for specific mRNA codon recognition, and the 3' end, to which the tRNAs corresponding amino acid is attached (by aminoacyl-tRNA synthetases). tRNAs cope with the degeneracy of the genetic code in two manners: having more than one tRNA (with a specific anti-codon) for a particular amino acid; and 'wobble' base-pairing, i.e. permitting non-standard base-pairing at the 3rd anti-codon position. Lineage: Bacteria; Pseudomonadati; Bacteroidota; Flavobacteriia; Flavobacteriales; Flavobacteriaceae. The record is from RNAcentral.